RNAcentral lists this transfer RNA (74 nucleotides) under Candidatus Coatesiibacteriota bacterium. Its description in RNAcentral is "Candidatus Coatesbacteria bacterium tRNA-Val". It matches the Rfam family "tRNA". From Rfam's summary of the family: Transfer RNA (tRNA) molecules are approximately 80 nucleotides in length. Their secondary structure includes four short double-helical elements and three loops (D, anti-codon, and T loops). Further hydrogen bonds mediate the characteristic L-shaped molecular structure. tRNAs have two regions of fundamental functional importance: the anti-codon, which is responsible for specific mRNA codon recognition, and the 3' end, to which the tRNAs corresponding amino acid is attached (by aminoacyl-tRNA synthetases). tRNAs cope with the degeneracy of the genetic code in two manners: having more than one tRNA (with a specific anti-codon) for a particular amino acid; and 'wobble' base-pairing, i.e. permitting non-standard base-pairing at the 3rd anti-codon position. Lineage: Bacteria; Candidatus Coatesiibacteriota. The record is from RNAcentral.
GGGCGAUUAGCUCAGAUGGCUAGAGCGCCUGCCUUACAAGCAGGAGGUCACAGGUUCAAGUCCUGUAUCGCCCA